RNAcentral lists this transfer RNA (72 nucleotides) under Camelus bactrianus (Bactrian camel). It matches the Rfam family "tRNA". Rfam says of the family: Transfer RNA (tRNA) molecules are approximately 80 nucleotides in length. Their secondary structure includes four short double-helical elements and three loops (D, anti-codon, and T loops). Lineage: Eukaryota; Metazoa; Chordata; Mammalia; Artiodactyla; Camelidae. The record is from Rfam by way of RNAcentral. RNAcentral also lists the same sequence under 2 other names.
GAGGGUAUAGCUCAGUGGUAGGGCGCGUGCUUAGCGUGCACGAGGUCCUGGGUUCAAUCCCCAGUACUUCCA